Molecule: transfer RNA, 74 nt
Filed under: Baekduia soli
Lineage: Bacteria; Bacillati; Actinomycetota; Thermoleophilia; Solirubrobacterales; Baekduiaceae
Also listed under: 7 other names
Description: Rubrobacterineae bacterium BR7-21 tRNA
Rfam family: tRNA
About the family: Transfer RNA (tRNA) molecules are approximately 80 nucleotides in length. Their secondary structure includes four short double-helical elements and three loops (D, anti-codon, and T loops).
Source: Rfam by way of RNAcentral
CGGGGCGUGGCGCAGCCUGGUAGCGCACCUGCUUUGGGAGCAGGGGGUCGCCGGUUCAAAUCCGGCCGCCCCGA